This 1035-nucleotide long non-coding RNA is filed under the name Junco hyemalis (dark-eyed junco). RNAcentral's name for it is "lncRNA (ENSJHYG00000014869.1)". Lineage: Eukaryota; Metazoa; Chordata; Aves; Passeriformes; Passerellidae. The record is from RNAcentral.
GAAGUUGCAUUCCUGAGUCCUCUGAGAAAGACGGAAUCUAACUUGGCUGACAAAAACCUGAAAAGGAGCGUGACAAGCCCGGGCUCUGUGUCGGACUGGCUGAGCUCCCAGCCCGCGGCUGCAGGGGCUGCGGAGAAGGGGAACGUGCAGCUGGAGAAUCCCUGUCCCCGGCAGCGCACCUGGAGCGCCCGCACCUUCCACGACCUCCUGGCUCCCAUCCCACAGCUGCAGAAGAAAUGGUGCAGCUGGAGCACCAACAGCCCCUUCACAAAGCUGGUGGACAGCAGUGGUUUUUCUACAGCUGCAAGGCCCCAAGGUGUUCCAACCAGAAAGGUAAUCUCAGCCACUGAGAUAGAGGGAGCAUCAGAGACUAUUUACUCUGAUUCAUCUGCCAGCAAUGCCUCCUAUCCCCUCACUCUGUCUGCACAGAGGCAGCGAAAGAUAACCUCCUGCAAUUUGAAGAAAUCCAGAUUUGGGAACCCUUAUUUUGGAUUUUUAGCCAGUUCCCCUGACAGCAAACAUAUGAGGUCCUUGGAUCCCUCAAGACAUCUAGGGGCAGCAUCUCCAGUUAACAACCAAAGCCCCAAAAAUCUUCUAGAGAGCUCCAACCCACUGAAAAUCAACUUGGUCAACGGUUCGAAAACAAAGGAGCUUAUGGUAGAAACAGAUAAAAACAAACCAGUUUUUGUUAUUUCUGAAGAAGGGGAUGAUCAGCAGCCUCUGGUCCUGGCAGAACACCUUAGUCAGUGUGGAGAUCACCUGCCAGAGCAAAAUGCUGCGUAUGCUCAGGCCGUGCCAGAGAAGCAGCCGGUGGUUCUGAGUGCGGAGAGGAACAGCUCUGCCCCCUUCACACCGAGCCUUCCCCUCUGGGCUAAAUCCCCCGCGUCGUACAAAGGCCAUGGGAAGGGCCCCAGCUCCUCCAGGGACCAGCAGAGCUCAGCUCUCAGUGUUGGUGGGGAUGCCAACAGUGCUGAGCCCUCCCAGAACUGCGACACCCCCGGUGCUGCCACGCUGUGCCAAGCCUCAGCCCAGUGA